RNAcentral lists this ribosomal RNA (250 nucleotides) under uncultured bacterium. RNAcentral describes it as "partial 16S ribosomal RNA". It matches the Rfam family "Bacterial small subunit ribosomal RNA", at positions 524 to 773 of the family's 1533-position model. The record is from RNAcentral.
UACGUAGGUGGCAAGCGUUGUCCGGAAUUACUGGGUGUAAAGGGCGUGUAGGCGGGUUAUCAAGUCAGAUGUGAAAUUCCAGAGCUUAACUCUGGCGCUGCAUCUGAAACUGAUGAUCUUGAGUACUGGAGAGGGAAGCGGAAUUCCUAGUGUAGCGGUGAAAUGCGUAGAUAUUAGGAGGAACACCAGUGGCGAAGGCGGCUUUCUGGACAGUAACUGACGCUGAGGCGCGAAAGCGUGGGGAGCAAAC